AUGGAUGACAGGGCUGAGAAAUGUUUGACUACCAUGCAGAAAACCCAAGUACCACCAUCAAAAGCUUUCCUUGUAACCUCCCUGGGAGCACCACACAGCUGUGAAAAGUGUUCAGUGCCGAGGGGAAAAAAUUACUGCCUUCCAGGAGCAACGCACAACAUGCAUGGCCACAUCCCUGCCCGGCCGGCCCUCAGCCCCAGCUGCAGCAGGUGGCAGCCCCAGAGGGACACGGCGCUCUGCAGCUGGGGCUGUGCCAGGCGGGCAGCACGUCAGCACCGCGACGCGUGUACCUGCUGGGACCAGAGCGAGCAAAGGGGAUUGCAGCAAAACCCUGACAUUGUGGAGAGAGGAGCCCCUGUGCUUAAAAUGGAAGUGGUCAGGGAAAAAAGACUGUAUUCUCUUUUUUCUUAACUGUACUCGAACUUCUCACUAAGAUAGCACCGUCAGAUGCAAGUGAUAGAACGUACAUGUGACAUCAAUUUUGUCAUCAACGCCAAAAAAAAUCUGUGCAGUUUAUAGAAACCAUGACAGAUCUUUAAAACAAAUGCAUUCUUCCCAUCCUUUUUUUUCCAACUUUUCAAUGUUGGCAGUUUAAGGAAUCUGAAAAUUGAAUCCAUCCAUCUGGCACUGGGAAAACAAACAACAUAUUUGUCUCUGUAUUCUC
RNAcentral lists this long non-coding RNA (664 nucleotides) under Numida meleagris (helmeted guineafowl). RNAcentral's name for it is "lncRNA (ENSNMEG00000000156.1)". The record is from RNAcentral. Lineage: Eukaryota; Metazoa; Chordata; Aves; Galliformes; Numididae.